AUACGUAGGGUGCAAGCGUUAAUCGGAAUUACUGGGCGUAAAGCGUGCGCAGGCGGUUCGGAAAGAAGGAUGUGAAAUCCCAGGGCUCAACCCUGGAACUGCAUUCUUAACUACCGAACUAGAGUAUGUCAGAGGGGGGUAGAAUACCGCGUGUAGCAGUGAAAUGCGUAGAUAUGCGGAGGAAUAACGAUGGCGAAGUCAGCCCCCUGGGAUAAUACAAACGCGCAUUGACGAAGACUUGAGUAACAAACAGGAUUAGAUACCCUGGUCGUCCACGCCCUGAACGAUGGCAACUAGCUGUUUGGCGCUUCGGGGGUUAGUAGCGUAGCUAACGCGUGAAGUUGACCGCCUGGGGAGUACGGUCGCAAGAUUAAGACGCAAAUAAAUUGACGGGG
This 395-nucleotide ribosomal RNA is filed under the name uncultured bacterium. RNAcentral describes it as "partial 16S ribosomal RNA". It matches the Rfam family "Bacterial small subunit ribosomal RNA", at positions 523 to 918 of the family's 1533-position model. The record is from RNAcentral.